RNAcentral lists this ribosomal RNA (467 nucleotides) under uncultured bacterium. RNAcentral's name for it is "partial 16S ribosomal RNA". It matches the Rfam family "Bacterial small subunit ribosomal RNA", at positions 28 to 507 of the family's 1533-position model. The record is from RNAcentral.
GACGAACGCUGGCGGCGUGCUUAACACAUGCAAGUCGAACGGAAAGGCCUCUUUCGGGGGGUACUCGAGUGGCGAACGGGUGAGUAACACGUGAGUAACCUGCCCUUGACUUUGGGAUAACUUCAGGAAACUGGGGCUAAUACCGGAUAGGAGCUCCUGCUGCAUGGUGGGGGUUGGAAAGUUUCGGCGGUUGGGGAUGGACUCGCGGCUUAUCAGCUUGUUGGUGGGGUAGUGGCUUACCAAGGCUUUGACGGGUAGCCGGCCUGAGGGGGUGACCGGCCACAUUGGGACUGAGAUACGGCCCAGACUCCUACGGGAGGCAGCAGUGGGGAAUAUUGCACAAGGGGUGGAAGCCGGAUGCAGCAACGCCGUGGGCGGGAGGACGGCCUUCGGGUUGGAAACCGCUUUCGCUCAUGACGAAGCUUUGUGUGACGGUAGUGGGUAAAGAAGCACCGGCUAACUACGUG